UGGUGCUUCACACAGCAUUCGGCGCUGGUU
RNAcentral lists this non-coding RNA (30 nucleotides) under Mus musculus (house mouse). The record is from RNAcentral. Lineage: Eukaryota; Metazoa; Chordata; Mammalia; Rodentia; Muridae.